RNAcentral lists this ribosomal RNA (305 nucleotides) under uncultured bacterium. RNAcentral describes it as "bacterial SSU rRNA". It matches the Rfam family "Bacterial small subunit ribosomal RNA", at positions 332 to 636 of the family's 1533-position model. The record is from RNAcentral.
UUGACCUACGGGGGGCAGCAGUGAGGAAUAUUGGUCAAUGGGCGGGAGCCCGAACCAGCCAAGUCGCGUGAAGGAAGAAGGUACUUAGUAUUGUAAACUUCUUUUGUCGGGGAACAAAGGCGGAGACGCGUCUCCGGAUGAGUGUACCCGAAGAAAAAGCAUCGGCUAACUCCGUGCCAGCAGCCGCGGUAAUACGGAGGAUCCGAGCGUUAUCCGGAUUUAUUGGGUUUAAAGGGUGCGUAGGCGGUCAGGUAAGUUAGAGGUGAAAGCUCGAUGCUCAACAUCGAAACUGCCUCUGAUACUGU